GACGGAGGGGGCUAGCGUUGUUCGGAAUGACUGGGCGUAAAGGGCGCGUAGGCGGCUUAUCAAGUCAGGUGUGAAAGCCUUGGGCUCAACCCAAGAACUGCGCUUGAUACUGAUAAGCUUGAGGAUGAUAGAGGAAAGCGGAAUUCCUAGUGUAGAGGUGAAAUUCGUAGAUAUUAGGAAGAACACCAGAGGCGAAGGCGGCUUUCUGGAUCAUAUCUGACGCUGAGGCGCGAAAGCGUGGGGAGCAAACAGG
RNAcentral lists this ribosomal RNA (253 nucleotides) under uncultured bacterium. RNAcentral describes it as "partial 16S ribosomal RNA". It matches the Rfam family "Bacterial small subunit ribosomal RNA", at positions 524 to 776 of the family's 1533-position model. RNAcentral also lists the same sequence under 1 other name. The record is from RNAcentral.